GCUAUGAAUAACAGCUGGCGCGGGGUUUCACACACUUAUGUUGAAAUAUUAUAUUGUAUCCGCGUGCAGCAACAAUUAACGCACAAUUCAUCAUAAGUAGAGUUUCUGACAUGCCAAGUUUAUUAUUAUUUGUUUACAUAGUGUCCCAUGUGUUAACGGAGCAGUUAGUACAUGUACCAUCGCUACAUUCCCCCAAAAUAAAAUCGUUCGACAACACAUGAAUGAACACUGUAUUAAUAUGUUAAAAAAAAUGGAUUAUUUACUGUUAAUUCGGAAAUAAUAUUUACAUUCUAUUGUAGCAAUGAUAAGUAUGUUUAGUGUGUGUGGUGUAUUUAAACGACACGGA
Molecule: long non-coding RNA, 346 nt
Filed under: Mytilus galloprovincialis (Mediterranean mussel)
Lineage: Eukaryota; Metazoa; Mollusca; Bivalvia; Mytilida; Mytilidae
Source: RNAcentral